Long non-coding RNA from Sebastes umbrosus (honeycomb rockfish), 149 nucleotides. RefSeq lists it as uncharacterized. NCBI's taxonomy places the organism in Eukaryota, Metazoa, Chordata, Actinopteri, Perciformes, Sebastidae. The transcript has 4 exons. The record is from RefSeq and is a predicted model, not a curated record.
AACGAUCUUAAAUCAUAUACUGUAUAUGAAGCUUUAUUACACGGCAUUUUCUGAAUACUCAAUUCUGAUUGGUCAAUCACGGCGUUCUACAGUCUGUUAUUUCUUUAUAGCAGACCGUUGCUAUGUAUAACAGACUGUUGCUAUGGGCG